RNAcentral lists this long non-coding RNA (805 nucleotides) under Linum usitatissimum (flax). Its description in RNAcentral is "long non-coding RNA (LUSI_LNC005159)". The record is from RNAcentral. Lineage: Eukaryota; Viridiplantae; Streptophyta; Magnoliopsida; Malpighiales; Linaceae.
GGAGGAUUACACACCGCUGCCGUCGCUCGAUGUGUGAGAGGAGCAUGGAUCGAGCUCCAUUCGAUCGAGGAGCUUAAGGAGAUGGCGAUCGACGGAGGAAGUGAGUCGGUGUCGAAGUUGGGCCGCGGCGGUGUCCAUCGAGAGAGAGGGUGGAGCAAACGUCGAUAGGAGAAGGUGGAGAUACGGUUCCAGCGACGGCAGCGACACGUGGAGGUGCUUCCUGGCGGCGGAGAUCGGCCGGAGGGCUGCAGGGAAGAAGGAGGAGACGGCAGGAUGGCAGGACCACGUUCCAAGAAAGUCGAAGGUCGCCGGCUGUGGGCCCGUGGUCGGAGUUUAGUAACCAACCAGAAUGUUUGGAAAGUUAAGUGACCUUCCUAUAAUUUCUAUAAAGUUCAAGGACUGUUGUGUAGUUCCCGUAAGUUGGAUGACUGAUCUGCGGUUGACAAAUGUUCAGAGACUGAAUCUGUAAAUUUCCAAGUUGGGUAUUGAAAGGACGAUUCUGCCCCUGCAAGUUUUAGAUUCUUGCAAAUAAGUAAUUGAAGCAUAACUCGACUGUUUGGACUCCAAACGACGUGCGGUGAGAAGCUAUGGACUCGUGGCAGGAAGAGGAAUCAUGUCAAGUCAGAAUCGGAGCUGUCAGCUCUUUUUGAGAGGUAGAGUUAGGAUUACUUUUUUGCUCUUGUCAGGAAUCGCUCAUUGCCAGAUAAGCUUUAUAGUUUUUCAUACAUGAUCUUGCAGAUACUCUCCUUGUCAUCAUGAAGUUGGACCGAACGCUCCUUUUUGAAGGGGCUUUCGAACAUCCUAC